Molecule: ribosomal RNA, 283 nt
Filed under: uncultured bacterium
Lineage: Bacteria
Description: partial 16S ribosomal RNA
Rfam family: Bacterial small subunit ribosomal RNA
Source: RNAcentral
UCAGAUUGAACGCUGGCGGCAUGCCUUACACAUGCAAGUCGAACGGCAGCACGGGAGCAAUCCUGGUGGCGAGUGGCGAACGGGUGAGUAAUAUAUCGGAACGUGCCCAGUCGUGGGGGAUAACGCAGCGAAAGCUGUGCUAAUACCGCAUACGAUCUCUGGAUGAAAGCGGGGGGCCUUCGGGCCUCGCGCGAUUGGAGCGGCCGAUAUCAGAUUAGCUAGUUGGUGGGGUAAAAGCCCACCAAGGCGACGAUCUGUAGCUGGUCUGAGAGGACGACCAGCC